This 254-nucleotide transfer RNA is filed under the name Marmota monax (woodchuck). Its description in RNAcentral is "tRNA.Ala". The record is from RNAcentral. Lineage: Eukaryota; Metazoa; Chordata; Mammalia; Rodentia; Sciuridae.
GGGGUGUGGCUCAGUGGUAGAGUAAUUGCCUAGCAUGUGUGAAGCACUGGGUCUGAUUCUCAGCAGCACAUAUAAAUAAAUGAAUAAAAUAAAGGUCCAUCAACAUCUAAAAAAUAUUUUAAAAUUUUUGGAAAUGAAAAGAAUAUUCAUUAAAAUAAACAAAAAAAAAUCAAUGAGGGCUAGGAAUGUAGCUCUGUGGUAAAGUACUUGCCUAAUACACAUGAAACUCUGGGUUCAAUCCCCAGUACCACCCA